UACGUAGGGUGCAAGCGCUAAUCGGAAUUACUGGGCGUAAAGCGUGCGCAGGCGGUUAUGUAAGACAGUUGUGAAAUCCCCGGGCUCAACCUGGGAACUGCAUCUGUGACUGCAUAGCUAGAGUACGGUAGAGGGGGAUGGAAUUCCGCGUGUAGCAGUGAAAUGCGUAGAUAUGCGGAGGAACACCGAUGGCGAAGGCAAUCCCCUGGACCUGUACUGACGCUCAUGCACGAAAGCGUGGGGAGCAAACAGG
RNAcentral lists this ribosomal RNA (253 nucleotides) under uncultured bacterium. Its description in RNAcentral is "partial 16S ribosomal RNA". It matches the Rfam family "Bacterial small subunit ribosomal RNA", at positions 524 to 776 of the family's 1533-position model. The record is from RNAcentral.